RNAcentral lists this ribosomal RNA (484 nucleotides) under uncultured bacterium. Its description in RNAcentral is "partial 16S ribosomal RNA". It matches the Rfam family "Bacterial small subunit ribosomal RNA", at positions 30 to 507 of the family's 1533-position model. The record is from RNAcentral.
AUUGAACGCCGGCGGCAGGCCUAACACAUGCCAGUCGAGCGGAUGAAGGGAGCUUGCUCCUGGAUUCAGCGGCGGACGGGUGAGUAAUGCCUAGGAAUCUGCCUGGUAGUGGGGGAUAACGUCCGGAAACGGGCGCUAAUACCGCAUACGUCCUGAGGGAGAAAGUGGGGGAUCUUCGGACCUCACGCUAUCAGAUGAGCCUAGGUCGGAUUAGCUAGUUGGUGGGGUAAAGGCCUACCAAGGCGACGAUCCGUAACUGGUCUGAGAGGAUGAUCAGUCACACUGGAACUGAGACACGGUCCAGACUCCUACGGGAGGCAGCAGUGGGGAAUAUUGGACAAUGGGCGAAAGCCUGAUCCAGCCAUGCCGCGUGUGUGAAGAAGGUCUUCGGAUUGUAAAGCACUUUAAGUUGGGAGGAAGGGCAGUAAGUUAAUACCUUGCUGUUUUGACGUUACCAACAGAAUAAGCACCGGCUAACUUCGUG